GACGAACGCUGGCGGCGUGCUUAACACAUGCAAGUCGAACGAUGAACCCGGAGCUUGCUCCGGUGGAUUAGUGGCGAACGGGUGAGUACAACGUGAGGAACCUGCCCUUGACUCUGUGAUAACUGCGGGAAACUGUAGCUAAUACCGGAUACGACCCCUGGCGGCAUCGCCAGGGGGUUGACAGAAUUUCGGUCAAGGAUGGACUCGCGGCCUAUCAGCUAGUUGGUGAGGUAACGGCCCACCAAGGCGCCGACGGGUAGCCGAGCUGAGAGGGUGACCGGCAACACUGGGACUGAGAUACGGCCCAGACUCCUACGGGAGGCCGCAGUGGGGAAUAUUGCACAAUGGGCGCAAGCCUGAUGCAGCAACGCCGCGUGAGGGAUGACGGCCUUCGGGUUGUAAACCUCUUUCAGCACCGACGAAGCGCAAGUGACGGUAGGUGCAGAAGAAGGACCGGCCAACUACGUGCCAGCCGCCGCCGUAA
This 484-nucleotide ribosomal RNA is filed under the name uncultured bacterium. RNAcentral describes it as "partial 16S ribosomal RNA". It matches the Rfam family "Bacterial small subunit ribosomal RNA", at positions 28 to 523 of the family's 1533-position model. The record is from RNAcentral.